Non-coding RNA from Paramuricea clavata, 462 nucleotides. NCBI's taxonomy places the organism in Eukaryota, Metazoa, Cnidaria, Anthozoa, Malacalcyonacea, Plexauridae. The record is from the annotation of a GenBank genome assembly.
GCAGUUCGAGUAUGCAAUAUUUCGGAACUGAGUCUAGUUCCUUCGAUAUCAGUGUAAUCUAAUAACCAUGAUAUUUGUGAAUAUGAUGCUUGUGUGAUGUUACUCUGAGUGCAUAUCCACACCGGGCAAGCUUGAAAAAUAUGCCAAGCCACAUUGGGAUUCAAACCGACCUGACCGCGUAGCUCAGUUGACAGAGCAUUGGCAUUUGGGCUAGUAUUCCAAAGGUCGUAGGUUCAAAUCCCACUGUGGCCAGGCAUAUUUUUCAAGCCUGCCCGGUGUGGAUAUACACUCAGAGUAACAUCACACAAGCAUCUCAUUUCAUCACGUUCCUCCAGAUAUUCAUACACUUCCUGUGAAAGAGCCAAUUCCAAGUAUUUAAUCAUUUCUGGUCACUUCCUUUCUAUUUAUGAUUGGUUAGUUGCACAAACAGCAAAGGUGAUUGGCGCAUUCAAACCAUUUAAC